RNAcentral lists this ribosomal RNA (270 nucleotides) under uncultured bacterium. RNAcentral describes it as "partial small subunit ribosomal RNA". It matches the Rfam family "Bacterial small subunit ribosomal RNA", at positions 26 to 285 of the family's 1533-position model. The record is from RNAcentral.
AGAGCGAACGCUGGCGGCGUGCUUAACACAUGCAAGUCGAACGUGAAAUGUAGCAAUACAGAGUAAAGUGGCGUACGGGUGAGUAACACGUGGGUAAUCUACCUUAGAAUCUGGAAUAACCGGCCGAAAGGCUGGCUAAUACUAGAUAGUUCAAGUGUGUUGUAACGACACGAUUGGGAAAGGGAGCGCGCAAGCGCCUUUGUUCUAAGAUGAGCCCGCGUCUGAUUAGCUAGUUGGUGAGGUAACGGCUCACCAAGGCGACGACGGGUA